RNAcentral lists this transfer RNA (70 nucleotides) under Arnoglossus polyspilus (many-spotted lefteye flounder). RNAcentral describes it as "tRNA-Trp". It matches the Rfam family "tRNA". Rfam says of the family: Transfer RNA (tRNA) molecules are approximately 80 nucleotides in length. The record is from RNAcentral. Lineage: Eukaryota; Metazoa; Chordata; Actinopteri; Pleuronectiformes; Bothidae.
AGGGGCUUAGGCUUGAGCAAACCAGGGGCCUUCAAAGCCCCAAUCGGAGGUGGGAUUCCUCCAGCCCCUA